Molecule: ribosomal RNA, 422 nt
Filed under: uncultured bacterium
Lineage: Bacteria
Description: bacterial SSU rRNA
Rfam family: Bacterial small subunit ribosomal RNA
Source: RNAcentral
GACGAACGCUGGCGGCGUGCUUAACACAUGCAAGUCGAACGCUGAAGCACCGCUUGCGGUGUGGAUGAGUGGCGAACGGGUGAGUAACACGUGGGUGAUCUGCCCUGCACUUCGGGAUAAGCUUGGGAAACUGGGUCUAAUACCGGAUAUGACACUGCUUUGUUGUGGUGUGGAAAGCUUUUGCGGUGUGGGAUGAGCCUGCGGCCUAUCAGCUUGUUGGUGGGGUAAUGGCCUACCAAGGCGUCGACGGGUAGCCGGCCUGAGAGGGUGUACGGCCACAUUGGGACUGAGACACGGCCCAGACUCCUACGGGAGGCAGCAGUGGGGAAUAUUGCACAAUGGGCGAAAGCCUGAUGCAGCGACGCCGCGUGGGGGAUGAAGGCCUUCGGGUUGUAAACUCCUUUCGCUAGGGACGAAGAUGU